CAACAAUGAAGCAGAUUACUCUUUUGAUAGUUUGUCUUGGAUACCAAAGCAAUAUUUGUUGCGCUUUAACAUGCAAAAAUCGACGUGGAGGAUCCGUUGACUGGUUCAUCAUGUACAAAUUACCAAAAACUACAACAGGCGACUCGUCAAGCGGGACCAAUUUCUUGUACAUGGAUAGAAACUCACCAUCUUUCGAACACAGUCAAUUAAACAUUUCCAGUGAAUAUAACAACCCUUUAUAUAACACGCUUCGACCAUUGUAUAUGGAUGAUCAAUCAGGGAUUCAAUCAUAUGCGAUGUACAAUGAUCAACCACCAAUGAACACCGGAAGCAAAUCAAGUAGAGCCCAUUCAAAAGGAGCAGUUGCGUUUGGCGAAACAGAGGGAUUUUGGAUCAUAUCUAGUGUUCCACGUUUUCCAUGGCCAGCAAGUGGGUCGACUGGAUACAAUUACGGUGAAAGUCAAACAAAGAACGGACAAAUCAUACUAUGUGUAACCGUACCUGAAAACAUGGAAGACAAAAUUAGUAAGAUCCAAUGUACUCGUGACCUCCUUUCUAAUAGAAAGGUUUUUUUUUAUGUUAUGUACUAUAACAAAGUGCAGUAACGCUUUCCACGAUUAUGACGAUUAUGGUAUUCUUUGAUAGCUUUAUCUUAUCUUUUAAAUCUGUUUAAAGCAUAGUCUUUAACUUCACAAAGUUAAAAACUAAAGGUAACCAACGCUGUGAAUCAGACUGGAAACAGAUUAAGAGUAUCCAAGUAUUCAAGAUCUUAGAGCAUUAAUGAAAAUGUACACAAAAAUGAAGCAUUUUGUUAUAAAUAUUAUUUUCUAAUUUUGGAGACGUUCGUGGGUUGAUAACUGAACUAUCUCUGCCAGAUGAUUUCAUCAACUAUUGACAGAUGACGAAAAACAAUAACGAGUUCCAACCGCUACACAAUUUAUACCGAAUAAAACUGUUGUCAUCAGGAAAAAUAUUUAAAAUCAAAAGUCCCAGGGGAAAAGAUGAAGGAGCAGAGUAAACAAGUACCUAUACAGAAAUAAGAGGUAUAUGUAGAAUCAGUUGCCAUGGAAAAUUGAGCAUCCUCUGCGCUUUUUGUCGUAAUCGGGAAAAUAGGGGAAAUAAUCCGUAGACAAUGCGUUGAUUUAUAUUGCCUGGCAAUAAAUAUCAAACACGUCAGUCAGUAUUUGUCUGAGCGAAAGAUUGUAUUUGCUGAGAAAGUCAUUGUAUUGAACAGAACUUACAAAAUGUUUAAUGAAAUCGUGUUUUAUCAACUUGU
Molecule: long non-coding RNA, 1276 nt
Organism: Magallana angulata
Lineage: Eukaryota; Metazoa; Mollusca; Bivalvia; Ostreida; Ostreidae
Exons: 4
Source: RefSeq, a predicted model, not a curated record